GAGGUUGAAUAAAAGGGCUAAAUCGACAGCUUUGGCCGAACCUAAACCCUAACAUCAUUUCUUUUCUCUCCGGCAGCCCCUAAGCCUCUCCUCUCCAAUGCCAAGCCGCAACCAUGUCGAUGGCCGGCAUCCUCAGGCUACAUGCGAACACUUUGUGGCCUUGAGGUUCCCCUUAAGUCUCCGAUUUCGGCGAAGCAAAGAAGAACCGAUGGCUUAUUUUCCAGGUAAGGUUUCGUCUCCUUUUUCUUUUAUUUAGAUGUAAAGAACGAAAAAGAAAAUCAAAAAGGGAAAUCGAGAGAGAAAAUAGCGUAAUAAACCCCGGAGAUUCAAAAGCAGAAGAUCACCUUGUUCUAUUUUUUGCUUUCUAUUCCUUCUGAAUGUGUGUGUAUUCUCUGUGAACGUACCCUUUACAACGAUUACAGAUCCUGGCUUUAUAGCCGAAAAAAGAAAGAGAAAAUAAAUAAAAAGAAUUCGACAUUUGUUCUUUGUUUUUUUCUGCUCUAUGCUGUUGUUGCGUUUGUACCUUUCUUCGCAGGUACAGGUGUGCGCUCGGGUACGGGGCCGUGUGCUGGCGCGGGCGUGACUGCUGGACGGUACGGAGGCCAAGGCUGAAGCUUGGCUGGUUGCGGUGCAAAGGGGAACCUUAGGGUUCCUGAGGAUUGCUUGACCUUUGGGCCAAUCGGGCUGUAUUUUGGGUCUAGGUUAAUGGGCCAUUGUAUUUGGUUUUGGGUCUAAACAAUGGGUUUGGGCUAUUGUUAUAAUUUCAGACUAAUGGACUUUUAAUAAUAUUUGUUGGUUUUUUAAUAUAUAUAUUUAUUUAUUUAUUGUUGUAUAUUUGGGUUUCUAGUGGGUCCAGGCAAAUUUUCCCAUUUACAAUUAUCAAAAAGGAAAAAUAAAAUUAUCAAAGAUUACCCUAAAA
Molecule: long non-coding RNA, 919 nt
Filed under: Gossypium barbadense (sea-island cotton)
Lineage: Eukaryota; Viridiplantae; Streptophyta; Magnoliopsida; Malvales; Malvaceae
Description: long non-coding RNA (GBAR_LNC009873)
Source: RNAcentral